GCCCAUGAUGUCACCAGGCCUGCUGGGCUUGCUCUGCCAAGUAUUCCCAGAGCGGUGAUUUAAUUUUGGCUGUGUCACUACUGCUAUGUCAGCUGUGCUGCCGCGAAAGCAGCUCUCAUGUCGUUCCAGCUGGGCUGUCGCUGUCUUUCAAAAUCCUCGUCGUGUGUGACACUACAAAUGGACAAGUCAGCAAGCUCACACAAAUCACCUAACGUCAUUCAGCUCUUUGGUGGGUGAAACGGAGCCAGGGCGCAAAUCCCACAGAGGUGGAGAGGUGGCCCCCCAGACCCCAUCCCAGCAGCUCACAUUGCAGCCCGUCACUGCUACAGGGCUCUGGACCAGCCGGACUAGCACUAAGCCAGGCCCUACAGUCCCACCUCCAUGCCACAGCACAGGCACGACCCUGAGGACCAACCUUCACCCUCCUGAAACUCCACAAAUUGGUGUCUGCAAAGAAGGAACCAGAAGCUGCAACCUCCUGCUCAUUCCUUCUCAUGGAAACAGGAGGCAACACAAGGCAGAAACCACCACAUGAUCCAGAUCCAAAGAAGCAUUUGUAUUCCUAACUGCUGUGGAGGUACAGAAAUCUCAGUGAAAUCAGAAGGAUCUCAGCACCCAGAGAGAAGCCAGCUGAUUCUGCCAGUUGAGCAUGGAAAGACACCAGAGUGGAGAAAAUCAUCGGGAGAAAAGGCUUUUGGAGCGAAGAUCGCCGUACGUCACUUGAAGAAAGUUGCUAGAAUUAGCUCACUUGAAUUCCUGUGGAGCUGGGAGGUGUUUGGAGGUAAACCCAAAUUCAUCCACGAUAAUAAGCUCUCCAUCAGGAUGAAUUCAGGCUUAGCUGCAGCCUUUCUGGUUCUCGUUGCUGUGUUACAGCACAGAGCUCUCUGCAACCUGAGGAAUCGCUGCCCGCCGGGGCAUCUCCCCUCAGAAAGCAUGGGACAGCAGCUCCCACUGCAAGUCCUGGCUCAGGAUGGAUCCCCCAAAAUCUAUCUAGAGAGACCUUUUCUGGGCUACAAAAAUGAAUUAGACACAUACAGCCCCUGGGCAAUAAAAAUAAAAUGA
RNAcentral lists this long non-coding RNA (1062 nucleotides) under Anas platyrhynchos platyrhynchos (common mallard). RNAcentral describes it as "lncRNA (ENSAPLG00000023393.1)". The record is from RNAcentral. Lineage: Eukaryota; Metazoa; Chordata; Aves; Anseriformes; Anatidae.